AUAAAGUAAAGUUAUGCAGCAAUGGUUCCCCUUUUCGUAAGUUUCAAAUAUAUUACUUCUGGUUAGACCUUACAGGUAGAAUAUUAAGUUUAAACUGUUGCUUCGUAUCUUUUUGCCAUGCAGGGACACUUUCUUUCAGCAUAUUUCCAGACAACGUGGUUCAGAUGAAGAUGAGGUCUCGUUCGACUGCCCAGUUUAAAGCAUUUGUUGGAAAAGUGAUCUUAAAGUCCUCACCUGGGAGACGGUCAACAGAUCCAAACGAAGGAGGUCUGGCAUGGUGGGUAAAGAGGGAGGAGCCACAGGACAACCUGGGUAAACACAACAGGGUCAUCUGAGGUUCAAACCAAGGAAACCUACGACAAGUCGGGGCAAGUCCAGUCAUGACGCGUCGCUUCAGGGACCGUGGGACUUCACAGGCACGUUUCUGCUCGUACAUCGUCUCUUUAAGGAGAAAUGUGCCAGAAUAUUUCUUGACCUGAAGCAAGAGAGAGCUGCAGGGAAGACAUGCAUGAAUUCAACAGGUGUCCUGAAUCCAACUUAAAAGCCAUAACUUGAAAUUAUUUAUAUGGCAAUUUACAUUCUUAAAAUCAUUGUCGAUUGAUUCUCUGUUGAUUGAAGAUUAACCGACUAAUUCUUCAAGCAUUAGUUAAGACA
This is a long non-coding RNA of Acanthopagrus latus (yellowfin seabream), 654 nucleotides long. RefSeq lists it as uncharacterized. The transcript has 4 exons. Lineage: Eukaryota; Metazoa; Chordata; Actinopteri; Spariformes; Sparidae. The record is from RefSeq and is a predicted model, not a curated record.